Molecule: long non-coding RNA, 561 nt
Organism: Ostrinia nubilalis (European corn borer)
Lineage: Eukaryota; Metazoa; Arthropoda; Insecta; Lepidoptera; Crambidae
Exons: 2
Source: RefSeq, a predicted model, not a curated record
AUCAAUGGACCGGCUCUUUCUUUGGACCGCUCUGAUUUCUCGGAACCUAAGUACUUUAAAAAUCAACCGUUUGCACGAAACGUUAGCUAUUUGAGCUAGUACCAACCCCCGCUCCCACCAGUGUCGCCGUGAACUCCGUUGGGGAAGGACGUUUGCUGCAGUGUUUCGCGCGCUCCCGAUGUAAUAUUCUCUUGACUCAGUUUACCAGCAUGGCAAAACGAGGAGAAUACUAUGCGUGGAACGAAGAAAGCAUGACAUUGGCUCUACAAGCUUUAAGUAAACAAGAAGUUGGACUGAAUGAGGCAAGCAGGAUAUAUGGUGUACCAAUAGCGACGCUAAAAAGAAGGCUGGACGACAAAAAUUUAAGAGCAAUAGGUGCAAAACAAAUAAUUGGUUCAAUAGGUGACCUUACUCCUGACUUAGAGAAAAAGUUAGUCGAUCAUAUUUUGGAGUUGGAAAGCUGUUUAUACGGAAUCACGCCAAAAGAUGUCAGAAGCUUAGCUUACAAAAUAGCUUUAUAAAGCGUUGACUAAUUGUAGAAUAAUAAAAUUGAUUAUUAUA